ACGCUCGACACCUACGGGAGGCAGCAGUGGGGAAUAUUGCACAAUGGGGGAAACCCUGAUGCAGCGACGCCGCGUGAGCGAAGAAGUAUUUCGGUAUGUAAAGCUCUAUCAGCAGGGAAGAUCAUGACGGUACCUGACUAAGAAGCUCCGGCUAAAUACGUGCCAGAAGCCGCGGUAAUCUGAGCGGGCUGGCAAGGC
Molecule: ribosomal RNA, 198 nt
Filed under: uncultured bacterium
Lineage: Bacteria
Description: partial 16S ribosomal RNA
Rfam family: Bacterial small subunit ribosomal RNA
Source: RNAcentral